RNAcentral lists this ribosomal RNA (545 nucleotides) under uncultured bacterium. Its description in RNAcentral is "partial 16S ribosomal RNA". It matches the Rfam family "Bacterial small subunit ribosomal RNA", at positions 355 to 891 of the family's 1533-position model. The record is from RNAcentral.
UGGGGAAUUUUGGACAAUGGGCGAAAGCCUGAUCCAGCCAUGCCGCGUGCAGGAUGAAGGCCUUCGGGUUGUAAACUGCUUUUGUACGGAACGAAAAGCCUCUUUCUAAUAAAGAGGGGUCAUGACGGUACCGUAAGAAUAAGCACCGGCUAACUACGUGCCAGCAGCCGCGGUAAUACGUAGGGUGCAAGCGUUAAUCGGAAUUACUGGGCGUAAAGCGUGCACAGGCGGUUUUGUAAGACAGAGGUGAAAUCCCCGGGCUCAACCUGGGAACUGCCUUUGUGACUGCAAGGCUGGAGUGCGGCAGAGGGGGAUGGAAUUCCGCGUGUAGCAGUGAAAUGCGUAGAUAUGCGGAGGAACACCGAUGGCGAAGGCAAUCCCCUGGGCCUGCACCUGACGCUCAUGCACGAAAGCGUGGGGAGCAAACAGGAUUAGAUACCCUGGGUAGUCCACGCCCUAAACGAUGUCAACUGGUUGUUGGGGUCUUCACUGACUCAGUAACGAAGCUAACGCGUGAAGUUGACCGCCUGGGGAGUACGCCGCAA